RNAcentral lists this ribosomal RNA (496 nucleotides) under uncultured bacterium. Its description in RNAcentral is "partial 16S ribosomal RNA". It matches the Rfam family "Bacterial small subunit ribosomal RNA", at positions 28 to 506 of the family's 1533-position model. The record is from RNAcentral.
GAUGAACGCUGGCGCCGUGCCUAAUACAUGCAAGUCGACCAAACAGAUGAGGAGCUUGCUCCGCUGACGUUAGCUGCGGACUUGUGAGUAACACGUGGGUAACCGGCCUAUAAAACUGGGAUAACUUCGGGAAACCGGAUCUAAUACCGGAUAAUACAUUGAACCGCAUGGUUCAAUAGUCAUAGACGGCUUUGCUAUCACUUAUAGAUGGAUCCGCGCCGCAGUAGCUAGUUGGUACGGUAACGGCUUACCAAGGCAACGAUGCGUAGCCGACCUUGCAGGGUGAUGCUCAAAAAUGGAACUAGGACACGGUCCAGAGUCCUACGGAAGGCAGCAGUAGGGAACAUUCCGCCAUGGGAGAAAGCCCGACGGCGCCACGCCGCGUGGGUGAUGAAGGUCUUCGGAUCGUAAACCUCUGUUAUCAGGGAAGAAGCAAUGUGUAAGUAACUAUGCCCGUCCCGACGCUACCUGAAAAGAAAGCGACGGCUAACUACGC